RNAcentral lists this transfer RNA (91 nucleotides) under Thermocladium modestius. It matches the Rfam family "tRNA". Rfam says of the family: Transfer RNA (tRNA) molecules are approximately 80 nucleotides in length. Their secondary structure includes four short double-helical elements and three loops (D, anti-codon, and T loops). Further hydrogen bonds mediate the characteristic L-shaped molecular structure. tRNAs have two regions of fundamental functional importance: the anti-codon, which is responsible for specific mRNA codon recognition, and the 3' end, to which the tRNAs corresponding amino acid is attached (by aminoacyl-tRNA synthetases). tRNAs cope with the degeneracy of the genetic code in two manners: having more than one tRNA (with a specific anti-codon) for a particular amino acid; and 'wobble' base-pairing, i.e. permitting non-standard base-pairing at the 3rd anti-codon position. Lineage: Archaea; Thermoproteati; Thermoproteota; Thermoprotei; Thermoproteales; Thermoproteaceae. The record is from Rfam by way of RNAcentral.
GCGGAGGUAGCUCAGCCUGGUGGAGCGAUCGGCUCAUAACCGAUGCGCAAAUGCGCGGGAGAAGCCCCGGGUUCAAAUCCCGGCCUCCGCA